GCAUGAGAAGACAUCCCCUAGCCUGCAGGGACGGGGUGGGGAGGUCCUUCCUGGGGCACCCGAGGUUACAGGCUGCAGAGACACCCAGCUCCUGCACCUGGUUGGGAGUCACAGCCUCGCCUGGGAUGGCAGAUCCCGCCUGCUCCCAGCCCUCUCCAAAUAGCACAGGGAGGCUCGGAUCCACAGCCGCAAUUUAGGUGGCUGUAGCCCGGCCCAGCAGGAUGGGGUUCCUUUGUGCUCCGUGGAGCAGGAGGCCUGGGUCUGCAGCUGCGGUUUGGGCAGCUGCAGCAACAAACGGGGAGUUCCCGUCCCAACUCACAAGGGGCGGGGCUCCCACCGGCUCCACGGAGUGUGCAGCAUUAGCCGCACCUCCCUGCUGCAGCCGGAAUGAUGACCGCAGCUACUGCCAUCAAUACCAACAUGGGCGAAGAGAUUCCGGAAUUACAGAGGCCACAAGGCCUGGAUCCCUGAGGUUUGACCCCUGAUACACCAAGACAAUUUAGUACCAUGAGAAAAAGUUAGGUGAAGAAAAAGCAGAACUGUGAAGACUAG
This 552-nucleotide long non-coding RNA is filed under the name Homo sapiens (human). Its description in RNAcentral is "HSALNT0286471". Lineage: Eukaryota; Metazoa; Chordata; Mammalia; Primates; Hominidae. The record is from RNAcentral.